AUGUCCGAGACAAAGGAAACAUUGGCAUUGCAGGAGGAGAAUGUCCUUAAGAGAAAGUUGGAUGAUGUGGGAUGGGAGUACGGGAGUCUAGCUGAUGCUCCCAACAAGGAUAAAGUGAAGUGUAUUUUCUGUAACCAUGUGAGCACUGGAGGUGUUUAUCGUCACAAGCAACAUGUGACUCAUGUUGGCAAUGAUGUGGCCAAAUGCAAGAAAAGCUCACAGGAAGCUAAAGACAGGUGCAAGAAAUCUCUUGAAGAGUCAUCUAAUAAGAGGAGGCGGAAGACUGCCCAUGAGCUAGAUCUCAAACAAACUGCAAAUAUUUCUUUUGCGUUGGAGAUGACGAAGCUACUUGUAUCGGAAGCGCGAAGGCACACAAGUUAG
Molecule: ribosomal RNA, 381 nt
Filed under: Triticum aestivum (bread wheat)
Lineage: Eukaryota; Viridiplantae; Streptophyta; Magnoliopsida; Poales; Poaceae
Description: partial small subunit ribosomal RNA
Source: RNAcentral